Molecule: ribosomal RNA, 301 nt
Filed under: uncultured bacterium
Lineage: Bacteria
Description: partial 16S ribosomal RNA
Rfam family: Bacterial small subunit ribosomal RNA
Source: RNAcentral
CAGUAGCCGCGGGAAUACGAAGGGGGCUAGCGUUGUUCGGAAUUACUGGGCGUAAAGGGCGCGUAGGCGGCCGAUCAAGUCAGGCGUGAAGGCCCCGGGCUUAACCUGGGAACUGCGUUUGGGACUGGUUGGCUUGAGUUCGGGAGAGGAGAGUGGAAUUCCGAGUGUAGAGGUGAAAUUCGUAGAUAUUGGGAAGAACACCGGUGGCGAAGGCGGCUCUCUGGACCGAUACUGACGCUGAGGCGCGAAAGCGUGGGGAGCAAACAGGAUUAGAUACCCGGGUAGUCCCUGUCUCUUAUAC